This 1055-nucleotide ribosomal RNA is filed under the name Bemisia tabaci. RNAcentral's name for it is "partial small subunit ribosomal RNA". Lineage: Eukaryota; Metazoa; Arthropoda; Insecta; Hemiptera; Aleyrodidae. The record is from RNAcentral.
UUAUACAUAUUGUAGAAUAUUAAAUAUUUAACUUAAUUAUUUUUAGAUCUACAUUAAAAUUAUUUAAAUACUAAUCAGAGAGAUUAAUUUUAAUUCAAAAGAAUAAACAUUUAAAUACUAUUUAUUUAACAAAGUAUGAAAAAUACUGAAUCUAAAUUUUAUUUUAGUUUAAAAAGUUAGAAAUUACAUUAAAUGUAUAUAAAUUUAAAAUUUAACAAAUUUAAAAAUUUAACAUUUAAAAUUUAAAAUAUAGAGCAAUCUAUUAAAAGAAUUUAUAUUGAUUCUAACCAAUUAGGUGCCAGCAGUUGCGGUUAAACCUAAAGUUAACUAACUGGAUAUUUAAAUGCAUUAUAUUGAGUGUGUAAGAUACUAGUAAAAUAAAUUAUAAGUAAGUGAAAUUUUUAAAAUUUAUAACAUCUUGACAAUAAAAAUUUAAUUUUCUAUUAAAAACUAGGAUUAGAUACCCUACUAUUUAGAAUAAUUAUAAUUAAAGUAGUAAAAGAAAAUCUUCAAACUUAAAAAAUUUGGCGGUAGUUUAAUCUAACUAGAGGAAUCUGCUCUGUAAUUGACAAUCCACAAUCUGUUGUAUUUUAUAUAAAUAUAUUUAUAUAUCGCUGUUAAACAUAAAUUUAAAAAUAAUAUUUAAAAUUUGAUUAAACUCAAAAAAUCAAGUCAACACAUAAUCUUUAGAAGUGAAGUGGAUUACAUUUAAAUUAGAUUAAUAGAUCAAUCUUUUUAAAUAAACUUCUUAAAAAGGAUUUAGAAGUAAAUUAAAAUAAAGUUUUUUAAUUAAAUCUGACAUAAACUAUGUACAAAUCGCCCGUCACUCUUAUAUAAAUUAAGAUAAGUCGUAACAAAGUAAGAUUACUGGAAAGUAAUAUUAGAUUAACACAAUUAACUUAAGUUUUAAACGGUAGCCUUUGAAGUUAAGUAAAUUAAUUAAUUUUAGUAAGUUAAUACCUAAAAGAUUUAGUUAAAAGUUAAAAUAAUAUUAAUUUGUCAGAUUAAAGUUAGACCACAGUAAAAAAUCUAAUCUUUAUAAAAGACAAAUAACU